Molecule: ribosomal RNA, 799 nt
Filed under: uncultured bacterium
Lineage: Bacteria
Description: bacterial SSU rRNA
Rfam family: Bacterial small subunit ribosomal RNA
Source: RNAcentral
CUCAGAAUCAACGCUGGCGGUGUGCCUCAGACAUGCAAGUCGAACGAUUAAAGCUCUCUUCGGAGAGUGUAUAGAGUGGCGCACGGGUGAGUAACACGUAAGUAAUCUACCUUCGAGUGGGGAAUAACAGUCGGAAACGACUGCUAAUACCGCAUAAUGCAGCGGCAUCGCAAGAUGACAGUUGUUAAAGGAGCAAUUCGCUUGAAGAGGAGCUUGCGGCAGAUUAGCUAGUUGGUAAGGUAAUGGCUUACCAAGGCUACGAUCUGUAACCGGUCUAAGAGGACGGUCGGUCACACUGACACUGAAUAACGGGUCAGACUCCUACGGGAGGCAGCAGUCGGGAAUUUUGGGCAAUGGGCGAAAGCCUGACCCAGCAACGCCGCGUGAAGGAUGAAGUAUUUCGGUAUGUAAACUUCGAAAGAAUAGGAAGAAUAAAUGACGGUACUAUUUAUAAGGUCCGGCUAACUACGUGCCAGCAGCCGCGGUAAUACGUAGGGACCAAGCGUUGUUCGGAUUUACUGGGCGUAAAGGGCGCGUAGGCGGCUUGUCAAGUCACUUGUGAAAUCUCCGGGCUUAACUCGGAACGGCCAAGUGAAACUGACAUGCUAGAGUGCAGAAGGGGCAAUCGGAAUUCUUGGUGUAGCGGUGAAAUGCGUAGAUAUCAAGAGGAACACCUGAGGUGAAGACGGGUUGCUGGGCUGACACUGACGCUGAGCGCGAAAGCCAGGGGAGCAACGGGAUUAGAUACCCCGGUAGUCCUGGCCCUAAACGAUGAAUACUUGGUGUCUGGAAGCCAUAA